This 840-nucleotide ribosomal RNA is filed under the name Emberiza impetuani impetuani. RNAcentral describes it as "Fringillaria impetuani impetuani partial 16S ribosomal RNA". The stretch from base 252 to 697 matches the Rfam family "Bacterial large subunit ribosomal RNA", at positions 619 to 1301 of the family's 2925-position model. The record is from RNAcentral. Lineage: Eukaryota; Metazoa; Chordata; Aves; Passeriformes; Fringillidae.
UUCAGCUUACACCUGAAAAAUGUCUGCCAACACCAGAUCGUCUUGAUGCCAAACUCUAGCCCAAUCGACAUGACCUGGAAUAACAAAGCAACUUCCCACACCCAACUAAAGCAUUUACUAGUCCCAGUAUAGGCGAUAGAAAAGACACCAUUGGCGCGAUAGAGACUACGUACCGUAAGGGAAAGAUGAAAUAGCAAUGAAAACUAAGCUACAAACAGCAAAGAUCAACCCUUGUACCUUUUGCAUCAUGGUCUAGCAAGAAAAACCAAGCAAAAUGAAUUUAAGUUUGCCAUCCCGAAACCCAAGCGAGCUACUUACGAGCAGCUAUUAUUGAGCGAACCCGUCUCUGUGGCAAAAGAGUGGGAUGACUUGUCAGUAGCGGUGAAAAGCCAACCGAGCUGGGUGAUAGCUGGUUGCCUGUGAAACGAAUCUAAGUUCACUCUUAAUUCUUCUCCAAGGAAACCCAUAAACCCCAAUGAAGCGAAUUAAGGGCUAUUUAAAGGAGGUACAGCUCCUUUAAAAAAGAAUACAAUCUCCACGAGCGGAUAAGUAUCGACCUUCCAACUGAAUUGUGGGCCCUCAAGCAGCCAUCAACAGAGAGUGCGUUAAAGCUCCAUAUUACAAAAAUAUAAGAACUUCACGACUCCCUCCCCAUUAACAGGCCAACCUAUAUUCAAAUAGGAGAAUUAAUGCUAGAAUGAGUAACCAGGGUCCUCCCUCUACGACGCAAGCUUACAUCCGCACAUUAUUAACAAAUCACCAAUAUACGAUAAAUCAAACAAGCAGAGUAUUAAACACAUUGUUAACCCGACAAAGGAGCGUCCAUUAAGAAAGAUAAAC